GACGUGGGGUCGCGUGUGCGCCAAUGACACCAGCCCCGCCACAGCUGCCGUUGUCUGCCGCCAGCUGGGCUGUGGCACCGGGGGGAGGCUGGAGGCCGUCCCCGCACAGGGCUCUGUCCCCGCCUGGCUGGGCUGGGUGCAAUGCCAGGAGGGGGCCCCCUCGCUCUGGCGCUGCCCCUCGGCGCCCUGGCACCUGCAGUCCUGCGGUCCUGCCGGGAUCAUCCACAUCGCCUGUGACGAGGACACCGAGGGCACGAGCGGGGCCACCACAACUGCAGGUGUCACCAGCAGCGUUGCCCCACUGACAGCAGUGUCGGGGAGCGUGCCGGUGCCCACGGUCCUGUGCGUGCUCCUGGGGACGUUGCUGGGCCUGGCCCUGGCAGCCCUGGCUGUGUAGGCACACCGCGCACGGGUGCAACGCCGAGACCCCGUCAAAGCCACGGACGCCGGCUCUGAGGCCGUGUAUGAGGAGCUGGAUUACAGCCUGAUGCCCGAGUACCAGGAGGUGCCCAGCCGCACAGGCUCCCUAUCCAAGGGCUCAGGCACGAAGCUGGAUGAUGAUAACUGGGAUGGUUACAAGGAG
Long non-coding RNA from Cygnus olor (mute swan), 583 nucleotides. RefSeq lists it as uncharacterized. The transcript is spliced from 4 exons. The record is from RefSeq and is a predicted model, not a curated record. NCBI's taxonomy places the organism in Eukaryota, Metazoa, Chordata, Aves, Anseriformes, Anatidae.